AAGUCGAGCGGACAGAUGGGAGCUUGCUCCCUGAUGUUAGCGGCGGACGGGUGAGUAACACGUGGGUAACCUGCCUGUAAGACUGGGAUAACUCCGGGAAACCGGGGCUAAUACCGGAUGCUUGUUUGAACCGCAUGGUUCAAACAUAAAAGGUGGCUUCGGCUACCACUUACAGAUGGACCCGCGGCGCAUUAGCUAGUUGGUGAGGUAAUGGCUCACCAAGGCAACGAUGCGUAGCCGACCUGAGAGGGUGAUCGGCCACACUGGGACUGAGACACGGCCCAGACUCCUACGGGAGGCAGCAGUAGGGAAUCUUCCGCAAUGGACGAAAGUCUGACGGAGCAACGCCGCGUGAGUGAUGAAGGUUUUCGGAUCGUAAAGCUCUGUUGUUAGGGAAGAACAAGUACCGUUCGAAUAGGGCGGUACCUUGACGGUACCUAACCAGAAAGCCACGGCUAACUACGUGCCAGCAGCCGCGGUAAUACGUAGGUGGCAAGCGUUGUCCGGAAUUAUUGGGCGUAAAGGGCUCGCAGGCGGUUUCUUAAGUCUGAUGUGAAAGCCCCCGGCUCAACCGGGGAGGGUCAUUGGAAACUGGGGAACUUGAGUGCAGAAGAGGAGAGUGGAAUUCCACGUGUAGCGGUGAAAUGCGUAGAGAUGUGGAGGAACACCAGUGGCGAAGGCGACUCUCUGGUCUGUAACUGACGCUGAGGAGCGAAAGCGUGGGGAGCGAACAGGAU
RNAcentral lists this ribosomal RNA (737 nucleotides) under Bacillus subtilis. RNAcentral describes it as "bacterial SSU rRNA". It matches the Rfam family "Bacterial small subunit ribosomal RNA", at positions 59 to 778 of the family's 1533-position model. Lineage: Bacteria; Bacillati; Bacillota; Bacilli; Caryophanales; Bacillaceae. The record is from RNAcentral.